This 126-nucleotide non-coding RNA is filed under the name Paramoeba aestuarina. Lineage: Eukaryota; Discosea; Flabellinia; Dactylopodida; Paramoebidae. The record is from RNAcentral.
CUUUUUGAUUCUCAAACUGAGUGAUGUUCCUUCUCCUUCCCCAUUCUUUCCUCAAAAAUGAGCAAUUUUUGUGAAAAAAAGAAUUGAGACGAAAAGCAGUAUUUAAAAAGAAGCAAAUAUAAAGGA